UACGUAGGGCGCAAGCGUUAUCCGGAAUUAUUGGGCGUAAAGAGCUCGUAGGCGGUUUGUCGCGUCUGCCGUGAAAGUCCGGGGCUCAACUCCGGAUCUGCGGUGGGUACGGGCAGACUAGAGUGAUGUAGGGGAGACUGGAAUUCCUGGUGUAGCGGUGAAAUGCGUAGAGAUCCGGAGGAACACCGAAGGCGAAGGCAGUGUCCUGGCGAGUGACUGACGCUGAGGUGCGAAAGCCAGGGGAGCGAACGGG
RNAcentral lists this ribosomal RNA (253 nucleotides) under uncultured bacterium. RNAcentral's name for it is "partial 16S ribosomal RNA". It matches the Rfam family "Bacterial small subunit ribosomal RNA", at positions 524 to 776 of the family's 1533-position model. The record is from RNAcentral.